Non-coding RNA from Cinara cedri, 276 nucleotides. Lineage: Eukaryota; Metazoa; Arthropoda; Insecta; Hemiptera; Aphididae. The record is from the annotation of a GenBank genome assembly.
AGACCGCCGUGUAUCAAACACAACCAAAACUAAAUGGAAACCGCCAUCACCCAAGGCAACUGCUACAGAGCUGGCUGAUUGAUGAUUGAGUCAAUGGCAGUCAUUGGCUGAUUGAUAGCGGCAAAAAACUAGGUAUUGUAAAUAAUUCGUCGGUGCUGAUAUACACGGUAGACUUUUGGCUAGCAGCCCGAAGUCGGUGCGUGUCACCGGCAACAAUAUUCGCACUCAUGCACUUCAUUAAUAUUUUAUUGAUAGUAUUUUUCGUAUUUUUGCACA